This 115-nucleotide ribosomal RNA is filed under the name Aurantiacibacter spongiae. Lineage: Bacteria; Pseudomonadati; Pseudomonadota; Alphaproteobacteria; Sphingomonadales; Erythrobacteraceae. The record is from RNAcentral.
CUUGGUGGUCUUAGCGCCCGUGGCCCACCCGAUCCCAUCUCGAACUCGGCCGUGAAAGCGGGCAGCGCCGAUGGUACUAGUGCCUAAGCACUGGAAGAGUAGGUCGCCGCCAGGC